Molecule: ribosomal RNA, 404 nt
Filed under: uncultured bacterium
Lineage: Bacteria
Description: partial 16S ribosomal RNA
Rfam family: Bacterial small subunit ribosomal RNA
Source: RNAcentral
AUUGAACGCUGGCGGCAGGCCUAACACAUGCAAGUCGAACGAGUGGCGGACGGGUGAGUAAUGUCUGGGAAACUGCCCGAUGGAGGGGGAUAACUACUGGAAACGGUAGCUAAUACCGCAUACCAUCGGAUGUGCCCAGAUGGGAUUAGCUAGUCGGUGGGGUAACGGCUCACCUAGGCGACGAUCCCUAGGUGGUCUGAGAGGAUGACGAGCCACACGGGAACUGAGACACGGGCCAGACGCCUACGGGAGGCAGCAGUGGGGAAUAUUGCACAAGGGGCGCAAGUCUGAUGCAGCCAUGCCGCGUGUAUGAAGAAGGCCUUCGGGGUGUAAAGUACUUUCAGCGAGGAGGCGGUACUCGCAGAAGAAGCACCGGCUAACUCCGUGCCAGCAGCCGCGGAUAC